CAAUAGCGUAUAUUAAAGUUGUUGCGGUUAAAAAGCUCGUAGUUGGAUUUCUGCCGAGGACGACCGGUCCGCCCUCUGGGUGAGUAUCUGGCUCGGCCUGGGCAUCUUCUUGGAGAACGUAGCUGCACUUGACUGUGUGGUGCGGUAUCCAGGACUUUUACUUUGAGGAAAUUAGAGUGUUUCAAGCAGGCUUACGCCUUGAAUACAUUAGCAUGGAAUAAUAAGAUAGGACCUCGGUUCUAUUUUGUUGGUUUCUAGAGCUGAGGUAAUGAUUAAUAGGGAUAGUUGGGGGCAUUCGUAUUUAACUGUCUGAGGUGAAAUUCUUGGAUUUGUUAAAGACGGACUACUGCGAAAGCAUUUGCCAAGGAUGUUUUCAUUG
This 379-nucleotide ribosomal RNA is filed under the name uncultured eukaryote. Its description in RNAcentral is "partial 18S ribosomal RNA". It matches the Rfam family "Eukaryotic small subunit ribosomal RNA", at positions 592 to 975 of the family's 1831-position model. The record is from RNAcentral.